CCUCGCGAGUGGGAGUGCGGCUGGGGCUGUGGAUGUCUGUGUGUGGUAUUGUGUGACGUGAAUGGUGCCUUUGGGCUGAAUGCGAGUAUGGAUAUUGGAGUGUGUGUGCGCGCGACUGGGAGGUGCAAGGCGAGUGUGUGUACCCCCUCCCCUCCCCUCGCCUACACCUUGAUCUUAUUUGAUCGGGUCGUGACCCCCCGCCCCGCCGGGCCGCCCCGAAAUGAAAAGCAGCCCUCCUGCGAAGCCCCCUCGGUGGGGCGCUGUGCAGCGAGGCCCUCUGGGCGGUGGCGGCGUCGCGGUUCCCGGGGUUCCGGGAUCGGUCCUGCGGGCCCGGCGCUCAGAAGUGAUGAAUUGAUCAGAUAGACGAGGCCGGGUCCGUCCCAGCCGCUGAUUACCGAGCGAUUCUGAUCUGA
Molecule: small nucleolar RNA, 413 nt
Filed under: Mus spicilegus (steppe mouse)
Lineage: Eukaryota; Metazoa; Chordata; Mammalia; Rodentia; Muridae
Description: Small Cajal body-specific RNA 2 (ENSMSIG00000019665.1)
Rfam family: Small Cajal body-specific RNA 2
Source: Rfam by way of RNAcentral